UGGGGAAUAUUGCACAAUGGAGGGAACUCUGAUGCAGCGACGCCGCGUGAGUGAUGAAGGAAUUCGUUUCGUAAAACUCUGUUCUAUGGGAAGAAAAGGACUGUACCAUAGGAGAAAGCUCCGGCUAAAUACGUGCCAGCAGCCGCGGUAAUACGUAUGGAGCGAGCGUUGUCCGGAAUUAUUGGGCGUAAAGGGUGCGCAGGCGGCUUUACAAGUUGGAUGUGAAAUAUUGUGGCUCAACCACAAACGUGCAUCCAAAACUGCAAAGCUUGAGUUAAGGAGAGGUAAGUGGAAUUCCUGGUGUAGCGGUGGAAUGCGUAGAUAUAAGGAGGAAUACCGGUGGGGAAGGCGACUUACUGGACUUAAACUGACGCUCAGGAACGAAGGGGGGGGGAGAAAACAGG
RNAcentral lists this ribosomal RNA (404 nucleotides) under Fusobacteriota bacterium. RNAcentral describes it as "Fusobacteria bacterium partial 16S ribosomal RNA". It matches the Rfam family "Bacterial small subunit ribosomal RNA", at positions 355 to 776 of the family's 1533-position model. The record is from RNAcentral. Lineage: Bacteria; Fusobacteriati; Fusobacteriota.